AUUGAACGCUGGCGGCAGGCUUAACACAUGCAAGUCGGGCGGAAACGAUGGUAGCUUGCUACCAGGCGUCGAGCGGCGGACGGGUGAGUAAUGCUUAGGAAUCUGCCUGGUAGUGGGGGAUAGCCCGGGGAAACUCGGAUUAAUACCGCAUACGCCCUACGGGGGAAAGCAGGGGAUCUUCGGACCUUGCGCUAUCAGAUGAGCCUAAGUCGGAUUAGCUGGUUGGUGGGGUAAUGGCCUACCAAGGCGACGAUCCGUAGCUGGUCUGAGAGGAUGAUCAGCCACAUCGGGACUGAGACACGGCCCGAACUCCUACGGGAGGCAGCAGUGGGGAAUAUUGGACAAUGGGCGCAAGCCUGAUCCAGCCAUGCCGCGUGUGUGAAGAAGGCUUUCGGGUUGUAAAGCACUUUCAGCGAGGAGGAAGGCCUUAAGACUAAUACUCUUGAGGAUGA
Molecule: ribosomal RNA, 452 nt
Filed under: Marinobacter sp. R-44565
Lineage: Bacteria; Pseudomonadati; Pseudomonadota; Gammaproteobacteria; Pseudomonadales; Marinobacteraceae
Description: bacterial SSU rRNA
Rfam family: Bacterial small subunit ribosomal RNA
Source: RNAcentral